Molecule: long non-coding RNA, 3988 nt
Filed under: Nicotiana benthamiana
Lineage: Eukaryota; Viridiplantae; Streptophyta; Magnoliopsida; Solanales; Solanaceae
Description: long non-coding RNA (NBEN_LNC041571)
Source: RNAcentral
ACAAGAUAGAUAUUCACUCUAAUUAGAAUUCUAUUCUUAACAAAUUACUAGUAUUCUAGUAGUAUUUUGCUAUUUAUUUUUAUAUUUAAAAAUGUGAGUGAAUUUUAAUUUUAACUUGUCUUAUUUUAAUUAGAAGAUAGCAUUUUCAGCUCAUUUUUAAGAGGUCUAACCCAUUAAAUUUGAGCCAAAAAAAAUAAAAAAGCUCAAUCUCAUGACCCUUAUACUAUUUUUCUUUCAUAUAAGACACAAACCUUAAACAAAAAAGGGGCAACCAUCAAACUAGACAAAGAUGGAGACCCAAAAACCCUAGUCUUCAUUAGAACCUCCAACCUCCCACCACACCCUUCACCACCUCUAGCCGUCACUCUCCACCCUUCUCUCCAAUCUGCCGCUCCUCACCACCCAAAUCUGACCACAACCCACGCAGACCAAGAGCACCCAUUGCCGUCGGUCAAACUCCCUCAUCCCCCCAACCAUCAAGCAUCAUUCUGCCACCUACUACCACAGUGAAGAACGCAAAUGCCGCCGCCCGUUUCCACCAAGAGCUGCCAAAAAAAUACUUUUACAAACUAGCAUCCAGCCAUCAUCUCCUCCAACCUAAUAUCCACAACCAAAAUCAGUGGCGGCUCCCUUCCCUUCUCCAUAUCCAGCGUCAAACACACCCCUGAGUGUAGUUGAUCACCCCCUUCCACCACCGUUCCUUCGUUGUCAACCAGCAGCAACCGCAAGCUGCAAAAGAAAAAUGAAAAAAAACUUAAGGGGGGUUUCUGUUAGUGUUCAUUAGGAGUUUAGUGUUCUUGUCUUUCCUAUUUAAGUCGGAAAAAUACCAAAACCUACACAAGUAAAUUGCUGUUCAUAUUUCGUUUUUAAUUUUGGAUUUGGCUUCAGAAAGAAAUGGAGUCUAAUUGAGGUUUGGAGCUCGAUUCGAGGUGUUUGUGGUCGUUGAUUUCCGUUCGUAGUUCCUGUUGCGGCUGAUGUUCAUAGCCAAUUUCUACAUGUUUCUGCGGUGUAACUCAAAGUCUGGAAGGUUGCAAUUCAUGAGUACUAAAGAAAAAUUAUUCUUCUGUGAAGGUCAAUUUUUCAUUCUGUCUUUUAGCUCAUUUCUUAUUGGUUUUGAUGAAUGCUUUAAAUUAAUCUGCUUCUGUGUUAGCAUAUUUUAGAUCUCAUUUAGUAUCUUAAUUUGAGCUCCUACUUGGUUCGUGCUUGCUUAGUGAAUUUAAUUUAGGCUACUACAUUAGAUAGCUAGUGAACAUGAUACAUAGUUUGAUUGGUCUAGAGUUAUGAGAACAUAAUAGCUCACCAAAUAAUUAAAAGUGAAGGAAAUAAUCUGGAAACUAUAGGGAAAUUUGUGCUCAAAAAGACAUAUUCUCCAUGAACCUUAUAUUUCAAAUGUCAUAUUUUUAGAAAAUAGAAUUUAAUCUCAUAGACUUGCUUUGGUUCAUAGUGGCAGUAGUUUUUUUUUUAUAGAUUUUUUAGAACUUUAGUAGUUAUUGAGAUAGUUAGAAAACCAUUUUAGUUAUUGCAUUCUUACUGUUGGUUUUUCGCCUUUUCUAUCUCUGUCUUUUUCGUGAUUUUAUAGUAUUUCAUGUCAAUAUUCUUCUUUAUGUGUUAUAUUUUCCAUCACUGUGUUUAAAUAUUUUUCUUUGUAGUAAAUUAGUUUAAGUAUUAGGGGAACAAUUAAUUGUCUAUGUGGUAUUGCAAACAAGAGAAAGUCUAAUAACAAAUAGUGAAAAUUAUCGAAUUUGCUUUGGGGUUGGACAUUAAGGAUGAAAGUUAGCGUGCUAAUUGUUUAUUCUAUUGCUUUAUUCUAUAGGAGCAUGUUAGGCCUACCACAUAACAUUAAGGAUGAAAGCUAGCGUGCUAAUUGUUUUAUUCUAUUGCUUUAUUCAAUAGGAGCAUGUUAGGCCGACCACAUUGGGUAGGCAAGCUUUAGGACUUCGGUUAAUUGUAAGGCGAGAGGUUGUUUCCUUAGUUAUUUUUUUCGAGGAAUGCCCCUAAGGACUUGUAUAUAUUUUAUUCCGUGGUAUAUGCCCUGUAGUACUUGUAUUUAGAGGCCAAAAGUAAAGCUUGCAGCAUUUUAUUUUUGUUUUUAUUUUACUUCACUAGGUGGGGACGACCUCUAGCCUCUUGUAUGUUCUUUUUAUUUUUUGUGUUUUACCUCAAUCGAAUGUCUUAAAAGCCAACUAGAUCAAGUAUGCAACCGCACUAGCUACAGGACUUGGGGAAUGCCUAACACCUUCUCCCGAGUCAAAUGAACCCUUUACCUGAAUCUCAGGUGUAGACUUAAUUUUAGAGUCUCAAGUGUUUUAAAAGGAAAAAUAUUUUCUAAAAAAAUUGGUGGCCUGACACACCGAAAUCAAAUGCCAGGUGGCGACUCUGAGGUAUUUUCCUUUUGAAAUAAAAUUUUGUCACUUUUCAAAUGAAAAACCUUUUUCGGGCUUUACUAAAUCUUUUUAUUAUUUUAAGAGGGUUUAGUGAGGUUUGUUAAAAAAAAGGGGUGUGACAAUUAUGUAUGGAUAUAAGCAUGAAAUUUUUUAGAAAUAUUUGGGGUUUUGGUAGAAAGACCUAGAAAUUUAAUUAUUGGAAUUUAUCCACGAUUUCGGGUAUGGAAUUUAGAGAAAAUUAUAUAUUUGAGUUUCUAAGGUCAUGGGCAAUGUUUAUCUUCGAACAAUUUUGGAUUCCGGGCACGUGGUCCCGAGGACAUUCUUGUCAACUUUUCAAUCAGGGUUAGAAGUUGUUGUAAAUUGGAUUAUAAUGAGUACCUUAGCAUAUAUUAAUAGAUUUGUAUGACCAUUAGCUAGUUUUGGAGCAUUGUGCGUUGGUUCAAGUCUUCGAAAGAAUGUAGAAUGCCGGUUAUGGAUCUUCAGAGCGAGGUGAGUCUCCUUUCUAAUCUUGUGAGGGGAAAAUUACCCCAUAGGUGAGUUAAAUUGGUUAUGUGCUCCUAUUUGUGGGGGCUAUGUGCGUACGAGGUGACGAGAGCCUGUGCGUAGCUACUAUUAUGCUAUUGUCCGGGUAGUCUAGGACCCAAAACCAUGUUAUACUUGGAUUAAUUGUGAACCCAUUUAUGGCUGAAUUGUUUGAAUGGCAUUAAAUUAAUAAAUGGAUUUCUAAAAAUACUUGAGCUUUGUUUUCUCAAUUAUUAAAGAGAAUUGGUCUUUCUUGGAUAAUUGCUCCAUGUGGACUUCUUGACCGACUGACUGUCUGUGUGUGUUUAUUUUGGAACGGGCCUAACGCCUUGGCAGAUUAAUAGAUGCAUCUAUGGGCGCGUCGUCGACCCUCGGCAAGUGCACAUUUAUUUUUGUUGGAUCAAGUCGUCGCCUCGGUGUGAUUUGCGCAUGCUUCUGUUGCUGCCUGGAACAUAUUUAAGAGUUUACUGUCUCACCCUGGCUCGAGAUCAUUUUGUUAAUAAUGAAAAGAACUUUGAAAAUUGCCUAUGAAAGAAUUGCGCGCUUACUUGUUUCCUCUAUCCGGAUUAAAAUCAUGUUUAUAAAAUAAAUUUACUUUUUAAUAUAUAUUUAUAUAUAUAUAUAUAUAUAAUGAAUAAUUAUUGGACCACUAGAGAGUGUCAAAGUUGACCAUCUCGUCUCUACUCCUUCGGGAUUAGGCAGGAUACUCAUUGGGUACACGUUAUUUUUGUACUCAUAAUACACUUGCUGCGCAUUUUGUUGCACAGGUAUAUGCAACUCAAGUGGCCUACUAGGCAUAACAUCACGGAUGAUUCUUGGACUAGGUGAGCUGCAUCAUUCGAGAAGGUCGUAACUAGAGCAGUCCCUUCUAGUGUACUGUAGUUACUUUUCGUCCAUUGUAUUCCGGACGGAUGUUGUAUUUUAUUUCUCUUAUCAGUAGAUGCUCAUGCACUUGUGACAUCAGGUUCUGGGAUGGUUUAAAGUAUUGUAUUAACUGUUUAACAUUUAAAUUUUAUUUGAGACUUAUUAUUUAAAAUUUCUAAAUAUGGAAGAUAAAUCUUAGAUUUCAAAAGUGUUAAAAA